AGAGUGUCCAUUUAAUCAAUGUUUAAUUGCGCACAUCGGAAACAUUUCAAAUGUACUAUUAUACCUGAAUGCACCACUUGGUUCACGUACCCCACUUGGAGCGAGGGGUCUAGCCCAACAGCCAAUCAGGAGCUACGUAGGUUACGUUCAGCUUGUCAGUGAGCAGGUGAAGCGCUGACGCGCUGUUUGUUUGAUCCUCUCCAAAAUCAGCAGCGGGACGGAAGUCAAGUGCUCGCUAAAACGAAGGGAAAAGGAGAAAAACUGUGAGUACAGGGUGAAAGGAGACAAACUAGUUCACUUACCUGCUGAGAGUCCGGAGCUGAGUGACUGAAUGAAGGAGAUGAGUUACGUGGGUCUUGUUUCUGAGAGGAUGAGAAAGUUUGACGACCAGGACUAAAUCCACAUCAUAUUUGAUGGUGAGCCUUUAACCUUGAAGGAAAAGACAGACAUGGACAUACAGGGAAAACAAUGGCAGCCCUGGACGUCUUGAUGACCCAGAGCAAAACCAGACAGCUGAGCUGAAUGAUGGUGAAGAGGUGAACCUUCCUCAGAGGAACAUGGCGCAGAUAGAUGAAAUCAGGCUGA
Cynoglossus semilaevis (tongue sole) is the source of this 585-nucleotide long non-coding RNA. RefSeq lists it as uncharacterized. The record is from RefSeq and is a predicted model, not a curated record. The transcript has 3 exons. NCBI's taxonomy places the organism in Eukaryota, Metazoa, Chordata, Actinopteri, Pleuronectiformes, Cynoglossidae.